UUUAAGGUGGCAGAUAAAUGCACUAAUCUUAAAAGUUAGAUAUAAAUAUAUAAUUUCCUUAAAA
Molecule: transfer RNA, 64 nt
Filed under: Undinula vulgaris
Lineage: Eukaryota; Metazoa; Arthropoda; Copepoda; Calanoida; Calanidae
Description: tRNA-Leu
Source: RNAcentral